AGAAAAGUAAGCUAAGUAUAAGCUAGAGGGUUCAUACCCCUCAUAUAGAGUUAAUCUCUCUUUUCUA
Molecule: transfer RNA, 67 nt
Filed under: Statilia maculata
Lineage: Eukaryota; Metazoa; Arthropoda; Insecta; Mantodea; Mantidae
Also listed under: 1 other name
Description: tRNA-Met
Source: RNAcentral